GAACAAGAAAGUUCCCGUUUUAACCUAAAGGGCGUGUUUUUAAAGAUAUAAGGGCUUCUUCAACCCUAAGUAUAGUGGCGCCAUCUGUUGUCGAGUAGUUGAACUUCAUUGAAAGUAUUCUACAGCAGCAGAACCUAUUGUCACGGCAGACGAUAAUAUCGAGAACAUUCUAGAAGAUAUGAGAAGGAAAAUAUUCUAAAACUUUCUCGAAUAUUCUAGAGCCUAGCUCUCUGAAUAUAUAAGAGCCCGGUGUCGCCCGCCAGAGUCAGUUCGAUUUGAACAGUGAAACAAGCGAUUUCGAAACGAGAAGGAAAGAAGUUAUCUGUGAGCCUUUAUUUUGAAGUAUCACGUGUGAGUAUUUUUAAUAGUGUGUAUAAUAAUUUUCCAUUUUGAAGCGAAGAAGAAAAAAGUUGUCUGUGAGCCUUUACUGUGAAAUAUCAAAUAAUACAAUGCCUAGACGUAAAAGAGGAGGAGAUCUUGCCAGUUCUGCAGCGAAACGGCGGAAACAA
Leguminivora glycinivorella is the source of this 509-nucleotide long non-coding RNA. RefSeq lists it as uncharacterized. NCBI's taxonomy places the organism in Eukaryota, Metazoa, Arthropoda, Insecta, Lepidoptera, Tortricidae. The transcript is spliced from 2 exons. The record is from RefSeq and is a predicted model, not a curated record.